This 390-nucleotide ribosomal RNA is filed under the name uncultured bacterium. RNAcentral's name for it is "bacterial SSU rRNA". It matches the Rfam family "Bacterial small subunit ribosomal RNA", at positions 28 to 417 of the family's 1533-position model. The record is from RNAcentral.
GACGAACGCUGGCGGCGUGCUUAACACAUGCAAGUCGAGCGGUAAGGCCCUUUCGGGGGUACGACGAGCGGCGAACGGGUGAGUAACACGUGGGUGACCUGCCCUCAGCUCUGGGAUAAGCCUGGGAAACGUGGGUCUAAUACCGGAUAUGACUCCAUGACGCAUGUUGUGGGGUGGAAAGCCUUGUGCGGCUGAGGAUGGGCCCGCGGCCUAUCAGCUUGUUGGUGGGGUGAGGCCUACCAAGGCGACGACGGGUAGCCGGCCUGAGAGGGCGACCGGCCACACUGGGACUGAGACACGGCCCAGACUCCUACGGGAGGCAGCAGUGGGGAAGUCUUGCGCAAUGGGCGAAAGCCUGACGCAGCGACGCCGCGUGAGGGAUGACGGCCU